This 268-nucleotide long non-coding RNA is filed under the name Nicotiana benthamiana. RNAcentral's name for it is "long non-coding RNA (NBEN_LNC040771)". Lineage: Eukaryota; Viridiplantae; Streptophyta; Magnoliopsida; Solanales; Solanaceae. The record is from RNAcentral.
GAUAUUUUCAUUUUUCAUUUCCCAAUACCGACUCUUCGGUUCUCUCAAUCUCUCCUCCUUCUCUCUACUUUCUCUCUCUAGAUUCUCUGUGAUAUACUCGGUUAAUCUGAAUAUUGACAUGGUAUCAGAGCCUUACAACGAUCCGAUCAUGUUCAUUUGCAUGUCGAUGUCUCUUUUGAACAUUUGUUUGACGGUUUUUGAGGAUUUAUCUGAGAUCGAAUGGUCGAUGAUGAUUCCGACUAUGAUCGGACAUGGUUCAGAGUGUUUU